GAAGUGGCUGUCAGUGGCUGCCAGCUAAGUUACCUGUCUUUACCGACACGACAACCGCAACCACCGCAGCUUCUCCCUCAACCCAAACCCUGUCCUGCAGUCCAGGGCUUUGCAGUUGAAACACAUUGUUACUAUUAUCACUACUGCAAGUUAGUUUGUAGCGAUAGGCAACCAGGAGACACGCUCACCAUAUCUACUGCCAUUGCAUGGAUUGGAGGACAGGAUCUUGCUCCAUUUUUCCGACAGUCACCCUGAUUUCCCGGUUGCUCAGUGGAUCCCGGGGGACGGCUACCAGA
Micropterus dolomieu (smallmouth bass) is the source of this 296-nucleotide long non-coding RNA. RefSeq lists it as uncharacterized. The record is from RefSeq and is a predicted model, not a curated record. NCBI's taxonomy places the organism in Eukaryota, Metazoa, Chordata, Actinopteri, Centrarchiformes, Centrarchidae. The transcript is spliced from 3 exons.